UACGUAGGGGGCAAGCGUUGUCCGGAAUUAUUGGGCGUAAAGAGCUCGUAGGCGGUUUGUCGCGUCUGCUGUGAAAACUGGAGGCUCAACCUCCAGCCUGCAGUGGGUACGGGCAGACUAGAGUGCGGUAGGGGAGAUUGGAAUUCCUGGUGUAGCGGUGGAAUGCGCAGAUAUCAGGAGGAACACCGAUGGCGAAGGCAGAUCUCUGGGCCGUAACUGACGCUGAGGAGCGAAAGCGUGGGGAGCGAACAGG
Molecule: ribosomal RNA, 253 nt
Filed under: uncultured bacterium
Lineage: Bacteria
Description: partial 16S ribosomal RNA
Rfam family: Bacterial small subunit ribosomal RNA
Source: RNAcentral